AGGAAAGCAGGGGAUCGCAAGACCUUGCGCUUUUGGAGCGGCCGAUGUCUGAUUAGCUAGUUGGUGAGGUAAAGGCUUACCAAGGCUUCGAUCAGUAGCUGGUCUGAGAGGACGACCAGCCACACUGGGACUGAGACACGGCCCAGACUCCUACGGGAGGCAGCAGUGGGGAAUUUUGGACAAUGGGGGCAACCCUGAUCCAGCCAUGCCGCGUGAGUGAAGAAGGCCUUCGGGUUGUAAAGCUCUUUCAGCCGGAACGAAAAGGUUACGGUUAAUACCCGUGACUAAUGACGGUACCGGAAGAAGAAGCACCGGCUAACUACGUGCCAGCAGCCGCGGUAAUACGUAGGGUGCGAGCGUUAAUCGGAAUUACUGGGCGUAAAGCGUGCGCAGGCGGUUUUGUAAGUCAGAUGUGAAAUCCCCGGGCUUAACCUGGGAACUGCGUUUGAAACUACCAAGGCU
This 462-nucleotide ribosomal RNA is filed under the name uncultured beta proteobacterium. Its description in RNAcentral is "bacterial SSU rRNA". It matches the Rfam family "Bacterial small subunit ribosomal RNA", at positions 200 to 642 of the family's 1533-position model. Lineage: Bacteria; Pseudomonadati; Pseudomonadota; Betaproteobacteria. The record is from RNAcentral.